UGAAUACCGGGCCGCAGAGGGUGAGGGCCCCGUACCUGAACGCGCAUGGUCUGCCGAUCGCGUCUCCCAAGUAGCACGGGUCCCGUGGAACCCCGUGCGAAUCCGCCCAGACCGUUGGGUAAGCCUGAAUAUUCCUGUCUGACCGAUAGCGAACGAGUACCGUGAGGGAAAGGUGAAAAGUACCCCGGGAGGGGAGUGAAACAGUCUCUGAAACCGUGCGCCUACAAUCCGUCGGAGCCCUUUUGUGGGGUGACGGCGUGCCUAUCGAAAAAUGAGUCUGCGAGUCAGUGGCAUGUGGCGAGCAUAACCCGUGUGGGGUAUGCGUAGCGAAGGCGAGUCUUAAAAGGCGUUUGAGUCGCGUGUCCUGGACCCGAAGCGGGAUGAUCUAGCCCUGAGCAGGUUGAAGCGCGGGUAAGACCGCGUGGAGGACCGAACCCACCUGGGUUGAAAACCGGGGGGAUGACUUGGGGCUAGGGGUGAAAGGCCAAUCAAAUUCCGUGAUAGCUGGUUCUCUCCGAAAUGCAUUUGGGUGCAGCGUCGGGUCAUUACGUCCCGGGGGUAGAGCUACUGGAUGCUUGCGGGCCCGUAUCGGGUACCAACAGCAACCAAACUCCGAAUACCGGUGACGCGUAUCCCGGCAGUGAGUCGGCGGGGGAUAAGCUUCGUCGUCGAAAGGGAAACAGCCCAGACCGUCGUCUAAGGUCCCGAAGCGUGUGCUAAGUGGGAAAGGAUGUGGAGUCGCAUAGACAGCCAGGAGGUUGGCUCAGAAGCAGCCACCCUUGAAAGAGUGCGUAACAGCUCACUGGUCUAGUGGUUCCGCGCCGACAAUGUAGCGGGGCUCAAGCACACCACCGAAGACGCGGCAGUAUUUUGUACUGGGUAGGAGAGCGUCCCAUGAGGGGCGAAGCGGCCGUGUGAACGCGCCGUGGACUUCAUGGGAGUGAGAAUGCAGACAUGAGUAGCGAGAGACGGGUGAAGAUCCCGUCCGCUGGAUGACCAAGGGUUCCAGGGCCACGUUCAUCGUCCCUGGGUGAGUCGGGUCCUAAGGCGAGGCCGACAGGCGUAGUCGAAUGGAUGAACGGGUCGAUAUUCCCGUACCGGCUUUCAGCCGCCAAAACCGAGGCUUGGAGUACUAACCUCCGGGUCCGGGCUUACUGCUCCUUCGGGGGCGGGAUGCCCUGGCCUGUUGGGACCGAUCCUUGUAGUAGGUCAGCGCAGGAGUGACGCAGAAGGGUAGCCGGCCGCGGAGGUGGUCUUCCGUGGUCAAGCACGCAGGGCGUGGGACAGGCAAAUCCGUCCCGCAUGGGUCCGAGGUGCGAUGAUGGGGGCCUUAUGGCCCGAUAUCCGGUGAUCCCGGCUGCCGAGAAAAGCUUCGGCGUCAGGCUCAAAGCCGCCCGUACCCCAAACCGACACUGGUGGUCAGGUAGAGAAUACCAAAGCGAUCGAGCGAAUCCUGGUCAAGGAACUCGGCAAAUCACUCCCGUUCCUUCGGUUUAAGGGAGACCCCCGAUGGUGAACACACUUGCUGUGGGAGCUUUUGGGGGUGGCACAGACCAGGGGGUAGCGACUGUUUACCAAAAACACAGGUGCAUGCGAAGGCGCAAGCCGCUGUAUAUGCACUGACGCCUGCCCGGUGCCGGAAGGUUAAGAGGAUCCGUCAGCCUUCGGGUGAAGCGGUGAAUUCAAGCCCCGGUAAACGGCGGUGGUAACUAUAACCAUCCUAAGGUAGCGAAAUUCCUUGUCGGGUAAGUUCCGACCUGCACGAAUGGCGUAACGACUUCCCCACUGUCUCGACCAGGAGCUCGGCGAAAUUGCAGUACGAGUAAAGAUGCUCGUUAAGCGCAGAAGGACGAAAAGACCCCGGGACCUUUACUAUACCUUGGUAUUGGCAUUCGGUGUGGAUUGUGUAGCAUAGGCGGGAGGCCGAGAGGCGCGGUC
RNAcentral lists this ribosomal RNA (1938 nucleotides) under human gut metagenome. Its description in RNAcentral is "bacterial LSU rRNA". It matches the Rfam family "Bacterial large subunit ribosomal RNA", at positions 344 to 2169 of the family's 2925-position model. The record is from RNAcentral.